CAAUAGCGUGUAUUAAAGUUGUUGCAGUUAAAAAGCUCGUAGUUGGAUUUCUGGUGGGAGCGAUCGGUCUGGCGCUUAGCGCGAGUACUUGCAUCGUCUCCGGCCAUCCUUGGGGAGAGUCUGUCUGGCAUUAGGUUGUCGGGCAGAGGAUCCUCAUCGUUUACUGUGAAAAAAUUAGAGUGUUCAAAGCAGGCUUAUGCCGUUGAAUAUAUUAGCAUGGAAUAAUAAGAUAGGACUUUGGUACUAUUUUGUUGGUUUGCGCACCAAAGUAAUGAUUAAUAGGGACAGUUGGGGGCAUUCGUAUUCCGUUGUCAGAGGUGAAAUUCUUGGAUUUACGGAAGACGAACUACUGCGAAAGCAUUUACCAAGGAUGUUUNCAUUAA
RNAcentral lists this ribosomal RNA (383 nucleotides) under uncultured eukaryote. RNAcentral describes it as "partial 18S ribosomal RNA". It matches the Rfam family "Eukaryotic small subunit ribosomal RNA", at positions 592 to 976 of the family's 1831-position model. The record is from RNAcentral.